This 253-nucleotide ribosomal RNA is filed under the name uncultured bacterium. RNAcentral describes it as "partial 16S ribosomal RNA". It matches the Rfam family "Bacterial small subunit ribosomal RNA", at positions 524 to 776 of the family's 1533-position model. The record is from RNAcentral.
AACGUAGGGGGCGAGCGUUGUCCGGAAUUACUGGGCGUAAAGGGCGUGUAGGUGGUCUGUGAAGUCGAAAGUGAAAACCUGGGGCUCAACCCCGGGCGUGCUUUCGAAACCAGCAGACUUGAGGACAGGAGAGGGAAGCGGAAUUCCCAGUGUAGCGGUGAAAUGCGUAGAUAUUGGGAGGAACACCAGUGGCGAAAGCGGCUUUCUGGCCUGUAACUGACACUGAGGCGCGAAAGCGUGGGGAGCGAACAGG